RNAcentral lists this ribosomal RNA (1205 nucleotides) under Triticum aestivum (bread wheat). RNAcentral describes it as "partial small subunit ribosomal RNA". The record is from RNAcentral. Lineage: Eukaryota; Viridiplantae; Streptophyta; Magnoliopsida; Poales; Poaceae.
CUCCUCCCCUGCUCUCGCCAUCGCACGCCCGCGCAGAACCCACCCAAGACCCAGCCCCUCGCUCGCUCGCUCGCCCGCCGAGAUCCAUGGCGGCCGCGGCGCGGGAGGGGGAGUUCAGCGAGCGCGAGCUCGAGGUGGCCGCCAUUCUCGCCGACCUGCCGUCCAUCGUGCGGGCCUGCAACCGCCGCCGCCGCCAGCAGGAGAAGCAGCAGCAGGCGCGGCCGGAGAUCCCCUCCUGGGGCCGGCGCCGGCCGCGGAGGGCCCCGGCGGCGCCGCCGGCCGAGAAGCCCGCGGCGGCCGGUGAUGACGAGAGGAGCGAGGGCGUCGCCAGCCCGGACACCCCGCUCGCCUUCCCGGAGGACGACGAGCACGCCGAGGCCGCCGCCGCGGCGGCCGUGGAGGACGCGGCCAAGGCCACCGCGCAGGACAAGUGGGCGCAGGAGCAGCGCGGCGUGGUCGCGAGCUUGUCCCACGAGAACGCCCAUCUCCUAAAGCAAAUCGAGGACUUCAGGGCCCGGCUGCACACCUCGCGGAGCACCAACGACAGCCUCAAGCAGAUUCACCAGAGCAAGCACAAGAAGCGGCACCGGCCGGAGGAGGAGGAGGAGGGGCAUAGAUGGAAGCUGCCGCAGGCGCGCGCCGCCGACCGGCCGGCGCUGGACCUCAACGAGCCGGCGGAGGCCGACGCCGAGGACGGCAGGCCGCCGCAGACUGCCGCUCUGGCGGCGGCGCAGUGGGUCCACCGAGGGCACCACCAGCAGAACCAGCAGCAGCAGCUGAUGCAGAUGCAGCACAAGGCGGCGCGGCGGCGGCGGCAGGAGAUCCGGCGGGCCAAGGCCGCGGCGGGCAGGACGCGGCGGCAAGGAUAAGGAUAGAGCGCGGCGGGGCCACAACAACGGCCAGCGCAAUGUCGAGAUUUUUUUUUCAGUUUGAGGCGUGCUGGUAGCGGUGUCCCCGUGCUGGAUCAAGAGUGCGACGCCAUUUUGGUCGGAUUGGAAUUUUGCGAGGUGGAUUUUCCAUGGACGAGCUGCGCGAGGUAGUGCUGGUGGUAGUAUACUAGUAUAGUGGUAGAACUCCAGCUAAGUUGUAUCAUCUGUUGGCAAUUAGCCAACAUUAAUUUAAAUUACAAUAAACAAUACUAGUGUAUUACAUUCAUGAAUACCAUUAUGUAUUCAUUAUGGCGUAUAUGAGUGGGUUAGUGUGUU